GGGGUACUAGCUCAGAUGGUAGAGCGCUCGCUUAGCAUGCGAGAGGUACUGGGAUCGAUGCCC
Molecule: transfer RNA, 63 nt
Filed under: Schistocephalus solidus
Lineage: Eukaryota; Metazoa; Platyhelminthes; Cestoda; Diphyllobothriidea; Diphyllobothriidae
Rfam family: tRNA
About the family: Transfer RNA (tRNA) molecules are approximately 80 nucleotides in length.
Source: Rfam by way of RNAcentral